This 2599-nucleotide unclassified non-coding RNA is filed under the name Sitophilus oryzae (rice weevil). RNAcentral describes it as "uncharacterized LOC115888608, transcript variant X1". Lineage: Eukaryota; Metazoa; Arthropoda; Insecta; Coleoptera; Curculionidae. The record is from RNAcentral.
UUCUGUCAACUUUGGCGUGGUUGACAAAUGACAAAUCGCCUUUUGUGGAUUGACUCGUUUUUGUCUUUCAGUUUUUUGUGGCUUUUUCUUUAGGUAGUUCUUUAUUUUUAUUAGACUACAUAAUAUGUAGCGCCGAAUAAUAAUAUAGCAAGAAGAGUCACUCUAAAUCCCGCCCUAUUUUACGUUAUUUCCACGUGGCUGUGUUUUUUAGCGGAAGCUCUUAUUUGAAAUCGAGCAAAGGCCUGGCUUAAGGCUGCCGGAAGAGAAGAUCUUCAGGAAAAAAAUUUAAAAAAUUAUAAAUUGUGCGAAGAUCACUUUGAAACCAAAUUUAUUUCGGUCUCGUCAUCUGGUUUUAAACGUUUAUAUGAUACUGCUGUGCCGACAAGAUUUCUCAAACCAUCAUCAUCAAGAAAUGAGGAUAUUUUUGAAGAGCCCCCUGAAAAGAUUACAAUUUUGUCAGAUAUACCUCUGGAUGUCCUUCAACGACCUUUCGGGGUUACGCUCGAUAAAGAAUAUGUUACCAAUAUCUCCGAGGAAAUGGUAACUAGUGAAUUAAGCAUUGAUACUGGAUCCACUUGUCUCGCUGCAUCUCCUUUGAUAUCGCCGAUGUCUACUCAAACGCCAUCGACUUUGACAUCUAACACUCCUCGGAAAAGUAAAUUAAAAUGUAAGGUCCAUUUGUUAAGAAAAAAGUUAAUAUUUGCCAAAAAACAGUCCAUUACCGAAAAUAGGGAAAAAUCGUCCUUAUUAAAUUUCAAUAAGUUGUGCAACAAAUUUCUGAAUAAACCUUUAGCCGAAAUCGUUAAAUUACAAGCACUUCUUAAAAAUAAAGUUGCUAAAGCAAGAAGGUAUAAUGAAGAAUAUAAGAAAUUUGCCCUUACAUUGUACUUUUUACGUCCAAAAACAUAUAAAUUUUUAGAGAAACUUUUAAUUUUACCAACGAAACGCAGCUUAGAACUAAUGACUCAAAAUUUUAUUUGCAAACCAGGUUUAGGUAAUGAUCAUAUUUUCAACUCUCUGAGUCUUAAAGUUAAAACUAUGUCGGAGUUAGACAAACAUUGCAAUAUAUGCAUAGAUGAAACCUAUCUUAAGUCAAAUCUAUAUUUUGACACUGGUCGAGAUCAAAUUAUUGGAUUUCAUGAUAUUGGAACUAAGGAAAGAAAAUCGUCCCUUAUAGCUCAGAACGUGGCUGUAAUUAUGGCCAGAGGUUUAUUCAAUAAUUGGAAACACAACCGAUCGCGUUUUUUUUUUAAACACCAAUCGUAAGUCAGCAGAUAUUUUAGAAAUUCUUAAGGAAUGUGUAAAUAAAUUAUCAGAUGUUGGACUAUAUGUUCAAGGUAUUGUAACUGAUAUGGGGUCAAAUUUUAUACAAAUUUCAAAAUUGUUAAAUGUCACUACUGACAAUCCAGAAUUUAAUGUUGGUGAUUAUAAACUCACAUAUUUUUUUGACACUCCUCAUCUUAUUAAGGCCACAAAAAAUUAAUCUUAUGCAAAAUGUAUUCUGUUUCGACAAUAAAAAGACAAAAUCUUGGAAGUUUAUAGAAACUUUUUAUAAUAAUGAUAAAAAGCAACAAUAUAGAUGUGCACCCAAGCUCACGGAUGCUUACAUCUAUCCAAACAACUUUCAAAAAAUGAAAGUUAAGCUUGCUACGCAAGUAAUUAGCAGAACGGUAGCCAUUGGGUUACAGACGCAUAAUAUGACUCUGGGUGUACUUCCUGCUGAAGCACAAGCCACUCUUGAGGUAGUUGAAAAAUUUGAUAAACUGUUUGAUUUACUAAAUGCAGUGGAUUUUAAUCACCCUAAUCCGUACAAAACUGUCCGUCAAAAAUGAAAUGGGUUUAUUUUUAGCAAACUUAAAAAUUUUGAAUAACAAUAAUAUAGAUAUAACUUUGAAAUGCAAGUUUCGUACGUGCUGGAUGAUCACAAUAAAGUCCAUUCAAAUUCUCUGGCAUCGACUUUCUUCUAUUGGAUUUACCUAUUUAAAAAGGAUUUACCAAACCAAAAACAUGGAGAAUUAACCAAGAUUGCUUAGAAAAUUAUUUUGGCAGCGUUAGACAGCAACAAGGUAAUUCUGUAAAUCCAACACCUAUAGAAUUCCAAAGGGCAUUUAGGAAACUAUUUUGUCAAACUUUUUUGCAUUCUUCCUUUAUGAAUUGUUUCGAUGACUUGGGUAUUUUAUUAACACAAUUAAAGUCCGUCAAAAAGUCCAGAAUUUUAUUAAAAAUGUGGCACCAUUAAAAAACAUCAGGCAAUAACUUUACCAGAUUGUGAUUAUAGGCAUGAAAGUAUAACAACUCAAAAUGCCUUUAAUUAUGUCUGUGGCUACAUCAUUAAAAAGGGUCUUCAAAUACAUCAAUGUGAUAUUUGUCUAAAAUUUGCAAAAGAAUCCGAAUCUCUGGAUAACUCGAAAUUAUUUACCCAUUUAAAAGCCUUUAAUCAUGAUAGUGGCACUUAUGGGAGUUUAAAAUCGCCAAAUGAAAAAUUUGUUCAUUUUAUUUACAGGCUGGAAAAAUUAUUUACAUUAAAUUUUGAUGAGUUUUGUACUGAAGAAAACAUUAAUCAGAGGCUGUUUGGUAUAAUGAAAACUAUAGAAUUUGA